This 492-nucleotide ribosomal RNA is filed under the name uncultured bacterium. RNAcentral describes it as "partial 16S ribosomal RNA". It matches the Rfam family "Bacterial small subunit ribosomal RNA", at positions 29 to 507 of the family's 1533-position model. The record is from RNAcentral.
AGUGAACGCUGGCGGUAGGCCUAACACAUGCAAGUCGAACGGCAGCACAGUAAGAGCUUGCUCUUACGGGUGGCGAGUGGCGGACGGGUGAGGAAUACAUCGGAAUCUACUUUUUCGUGGGGGAUAACGUAGGGAAACUUACGCUAAUACCGCAUACGACCUACGGGUGAAAGCAGGGGAUCUUCGGACCUUGCGCGAUUGAAUGAGCCGAUGUCGGAUUAGCUAGUUGGCGGGGUAAAGGCCCACCAAGGCGAUGAUCCGUAGCUGGUCUGAGAGGAUGAUCAGCCACACUGGAACUGAGACACGGUCCAGACUCCUACGGGAGGCAGCAGUGGGGAAUAUUGGACAAUGGGCGCAAGCCUGAUCCAGCCAUACCGCGUGGGUGAAGAAGGCCUUCGGGUUGUAAAGCCCUUUUGUUGGGAAAGAAAAGCAGCAGGUUAAUACCCCGCUGUUCUGGCGGUACCCAAAGAAUAAGCACCGGCUAACUUCGUG